This 345-nucleotide ribosomal RNA is filed under the name Triticum aestivum (bread wheat). Its description in RNAcentral is "partial small subunit ribosomal RNA". The record is from RNAcentral. Lineage: Eukaryota; Viridiplantae; Streptophyta; Magnoliopsida; Poales; Poaceae.
AUGCGCGUGCUGUGGUCUGUGCCUGUCGGCUACAAGUUCUUGGUGAUAAAGGAGGGUCCUUGUGAUUCUGAGGUACAAGUAUGUAGAUCAUGCCUGUCAGUGGUUGGGUUUCAGGCAUUUCGUCUGCAAGAUCGUGAUGAACUACCAAACAACUUUCCUGGAAACAGCAAGCUGCAAUCAGCCUCGCCUCUGCAACACUUGCUUUUAAUUCUGCAUCUUCAGUUAGUUCCACAGAUUAAUUGUGGGGAAAACAACUUGAACCACAGAAUGAACAUCAACCAAUCAUCUUUCUCAUGUACAUUACGGUGCACUGACUUGUGUUUGCGAUGUCAUGUCCAUAUGUAA